UUCAGUUAUUAUAGAUUGUAUACUUGACUUCCAAUCAAGGGGCCCAAGAUUAGUUGGACUGAAAACU
Molecule: transfer RNA, 67 nt
Filed under: Ophiomastix mixta
Lineage: Eukaryota; Metazoa; Echinodermata; Ophiuroidea; Amphilepidida; Ophiocomidae
Description: tRNA-Gly
Source: RNAcentral